This 777-nucleotide ribosomal RNA is filed under the name Flavobacteriaceae bacterium ACEMC 6-2. RNAcentral's name for it is "bacterial SSU rRNA". It matches the Rfam family "Bacterial small subunit ribosomal RNA", at positions 104 to 882 of the family's 1533-position model. Lineage: Bacteria; Pseudomonadati; Bacteroidota; Flavobacteriia; Flavobacteriales; Flavobacteriaceae. The record is from RNAcentral.
GGGUGCGUAACGCGUAUGCAAUCUACCUUGUACAGAGGGAUAGCCCAGAGAAAUUUGGAUUAAUACCUCAUAGUGUUAUUGAAUGGCAUCAUUUGAUAACUAAAGUUCCAACGGUACAAGAUGAGCAUGCGUCCCAUUAGUUAGUUGGUAAGGUAACGGCUUACCAAGACAAUGAUGGGUAGGGGUCCUGAGAGGGAGAUCCCCCACACUGGUACUGAGACACGGACCAGACUCCUACGGGAGGCAGCAGUGAGGAAUAUUGGACAAUGGGCGCAAGCCUGAUCCAGCCAUGCCGCGUGCAGGAUGACUGCCCUAUGGGUUGUAAACUGCUUUUAUACAGGAAGAAACACUGCUACGUGUAGCAGCUUGACGGUACUGUAGGAAUAAGGAUCGGCUAACUCCGUGCCAGCAGCCGCGGUAAUACGGAGGAUCCAAGCGUUAUCCGGAAUCAUUGGGUUUAAAGGGUCCGUAGGCGGCCUUAUAAGUCAGUGGUGAAAUCUCCUAGCUCAACUAGGAAACUGCCAUUGAUACUGUAGGGCUUGAAUUUUUAGGAAGUAACUAGAAUAUGUAGUGUAGCGGUGAAAUGCUUAGAUAUUACAUGGAAUACCAAUUGCGAAGGCAGGUUACUACUAAUGGAUUGACGCUGAUGGACGAAAGCGUGGGUAGCGAACAGGAUUAGAUACCCUGGUAGUCCACGCCGUAAACGAUGGAUACUAGCUGUUCGGUCUUCGGACUGAGUGGCUAAGCGAAAGUGAUAAGUAUCCCACCUGGGGAGUA